UCUGUCCCACUGCAGGCUGUGGGCCCAGGGCUGUGCUGGAGACAUCCCAGUGCCCAGCCAGCCAUGGUCCUGCAGCCUGGGGCCCUCUUGGUCCAGA
MicroRNA precursor from Gallus gallus (chicken), 97 nucleotides. The record is from Ensembl. Lineage: Eukaryota; Metazoa; Chordata; Aves; Galliformes; Phasianidae.